UCUAGGAUGCCUGAGAAUUAUGAAAGGAACGUUUUGAUGUGACGUAUAGGGUGUCUACCUCCUAGGA
This 67-nucleotide transfer RNA is filed under the name Quadraceps punctatus. Its description in RNAcentral is "tRNA-Ile". Lineage: Eukaryota; Metazoa; Arthropoda; Insecta; Psocodea; Philopteridae. The record is from RNAcentral.